Molecule: ribosomal RNA, 255 nt
Filed under: uncultured bacterium
Lineage: Bacteria
Description: partial small subunit ribosomal RNA
Rfam family: Bacterial small subunit ribosomal RNA
Source: RNAcentral
AGGACGAACGCUGGCGGCGUGCUUAACACAUGCAAGUCGAGCGGAAAGGCCCUUCGGGGUACUCGAGCGGCGAACGGGUGAGUAACACGUGAGCAACCUGCCCUUAGCUCUGGGAUAGCUCCGGGAAACGGGGUCUAAUACCGGAUAAUACCUGCUGAGGCAUCUCGGCGGGUUGAAAGCUCCGGCGGUGCAGGAUGAGCCCGCGGCCUAUCAGCUUGUUGGUGGGGUGAUGGCCUACCAAGGCGACGACGGGUA